AUCUCUUUGGACUCCUCCUUCGAGUCGUAAUUUCUUUCCCUGCACUAAGCCUAGUCUUAAUUACUCAUCUCCUGGAAAGACAAGAGGUUUCCUUCUGGUUCAUACAAAUGGAGGGCUUAAUCAAAUGCGCGCUGGGAUAUGUGACAUGGUUGCAAUAGCACGUAUAAUUAAUGCAACCCUCGUGAUUCCUGAUCUUGACAAGCAUUCAUUUUGGAA
Cucumis melo (muskmelon) is the source of this 216-nucleotide long non-coding RNA. RefSeq lists it as uncharacterized. NCBI's taxonomy places the organism in Eukaryota, Viridiplantae, Streptophyta, Magnoliopsida, Cucurbitales, Cucurbitaceae. The record is from RefSeq and is a predicted model, not a curated record. The transcript is spliced from 3 exons.